AGUGAACGCUGGCGGUAGGCCUAACACAUGCAAGUCGAACGGCAGCACGGUAAGAGCUUGCUCUUACGGGUGGCGAGUGGCGGACGGGUGAGGAAUACAUCGGAAUCUACUUUUUCGUGGGGGAUAACGUAGGGAAACUUACGCUAAUACCGCAUACGACCUACGGGUGAAAGCAGGGGAUCUUCGGGCCUUGCGCGAUUGAAUGAGCCGAUGUCGGAUUAGCUAGUUGGCGGGGUAAAGGCCCACCAAGGCGACGAUCCGUAGCUGGUCUGAGAGGAUGAUCAGCCACACUGGAACUGAGACACGGUCCAGACUCCUACGGGAGGCAGCAGUGGGGAAUAUUGGACAAUGGGCGCAAGCCUGAUCCAGCCAUACCGCGUGGGUGAAGAAGGCCUUCGGGUUGUAAAGCCCUUUUGUUGGGAAAGAAAAGCAGCAGGUUAAUACCCCGCUGUUCUGACGGUACCCAAAGAAUAAGCACCGGCUAACUUCGUG
RNAcentral lists this ribosomal RNA (492 nucleotides) under uncultured bacterium. RNAcentral's name for it is "partial 16S ribosomal RNA". It matches the Rfam family "Bacterial small subunit ribosomal RNA", at positions 29 to 507 of the family's 1533-position model. The record is from RNAcentral.